Molecule: unclassified non-coding RNA, 5719 nt
Filed under: Lytechinus variegatus (green sea urchin)
Lineage: Eukaryota; Metazoa; Echinodermata; Echinoidea; Temnopleuroida; Toxopneustidae
Description: anoctamin-7-like, transcript variant X1
Source: RNAcentral
AAACUCCGUACAAUUCGUUGUGUAUUGAGUUCGUCGGAAACACGAAUGGAAUAUCAUUUUACGUGGACUUUUCAGUUUGAGGGUACAAGAAGGUAGGAUGGCGGCUAGUUCUUCAUCAGAAAAGAAUGGUGUAGCUGUUCCAAUGGAUUCAUAUGGCUCUACAGAUGAUACAGUGACUCUGACCAGUAAAGACUUUCUGCAAGGAGAUACUUCAUCCCGGGAUCCUCUACUUACCCUGUCAACGUUACGUAACAGCAAUGAUCAUCCUGGUACAUACUUCAAUGAUGGAAAAAGGAAAAUUGACUUCAUUCUGGUCCACGAGGAGGAGCGUCUGUCAGAGAAACAGCUCCAGAAGCGGGAGAAAGAGAGGAGCGACCGUCGGGCCAGUAACCUCCCUCCCAAUGAGGAGGACGCCAAGGAGCAGCAGCACGCUGCCUGGAGAAAGAAGUUCUUGGAGACAAUCCAGCGGGCGGGGCUCCAGAUCGAGGAGGACGUGGUGGAGUUGGAGAAGAAGAUCAUCACCUAUCACAAGCUCCACGCUCCCUGGAACACCCUGGUAUUCUUCGCAGAGGAGCUCGGUCUCAAGGCCCCGCUGACCGCCUUGCUGAACUUGCCAAAGAAUACAUCUGAUCAAUUUCUGAAGAAGAUGGGUAUCAAGAAUAGCUUCCUCAACCAAAAUGUGCCAAACCAGCCUCCAGAUUUCAUGACCUGUGCGUUCAGAGUCAACAAAAUAAAAAAGUAUCUCAAUAAUGAUCACAAAGAGCAGUUCUUCAGCAACGUGGACCGGACACGCGUCGUCAACGAAAUCCUGGAGACGACGACAUAUGGCAAGCGGAAGAGGGCAGAGGUUGGCAUCAGCCGUCUUCUGGAAGAGGAAAUAUUUCAUGGCGCGUUCCCUCUGCAUGAUGGUCCUGAGAAAGCUCCUGGUCCAGGGGUCAAGGAAGAAGACUGGAACAAGCGACAGAUUCUGAAGAAAUACUGGGCCAGAUGGGGUGCCUGGGCCAAGUACCAACCUCUAGACCAUAUUAGGGAGUAUUUUGGUGAAAAGAUUGGUCUCUAUUUUGCAUGGCUAGGGUUAUAUACAGGUUGGUUACUACCUGCCUCUAUCAUCGGUAUAAUCGUCUUCAUCUAUGGACUCAUAAUGAUGCCCUUCAACCCAGUAGCGAAUCAAAUAUGCGACAGUGGUGGAGACUUCCUCAUGUGUCCCCAGUGCGAUAAGGAGAUAGGAUGCACAUACUGGAAUCUAUCAGAUACAUGCUUAGAAGCAGAGAUAUCCAUUCUGUUUGAUCAUCCAGGAACGGUAUUCUUUUCAAUAUUCAUGUCAUUCUGGGCUGUAUCAUUCCUUGAAAGCUGGAAGAGAAAGCAAGCCAGUCUUGCUCAUCACUGGGAUUGCUGGAACUUUGAAGAAGAAGAGGAGCGUCCCCGACCCCAGUUUGCAGCCCAAGCCCCCGCCAUGGAAGAAAACCCCAUUACUGGCGUCAUGGAACCAUACUUCCCGGAAGAUAUCAAGAAAAGGAGAUGGCUAACUGGUAUCUUUGUCAUCGUUGGCAUGGUAACCUUGGUGAUCAUCUUCUUGACGGGUGUGAUUAUGUACCGAGUUCUGAUCAGCAUCCCUCUGUCACAGAAUGAACUGUUCAGGUCCAAUGCUCAGACCAUUGCCAGUAUUUCAGGAGCCAUCCUCAACUUGAUCUUGAUCAUGGUGCUAGGUCAGGUGUACCAGAAACUAGCCGUCAUCAUGAAUGAUUGGGAGAUGCAUCGGACCCAGACGGAGUACGAGGACAACCUAACCUUCAAGGUCUUCGUCUUUCAAUUCAUGAAUUUCUUCUCAUCCAUCUUUUACAUCGCAUUCUUCAAGGGAAAGUUUCUUGGUUACCCUGGCAACUACAACACAUUUUUUGGUCUUCGAGAUGAAGCUUGUGGUACCGGUGGAUGUCUGGUUGAACUGGCCCAGCAACUAUUUAUUAUCAUGGUUGGCAAACAGAUCAUCAACAAUUGCCAAGAAUUAGCCAUUCCGAAACUGAAGCAGUUUAUCAUCAGAUGGAAGCUCAAGGGCUCAGCGUUUGGAGGAUCGGAAGAAGAAGGAUCCCGCUGGGAAGAAGACUACCAACUUGUACCUAACGAAGGUCUCUUUGAGGAGUAUUUGGAAAUGAUCAUCCAGUUUGGGUUUAUCACCAUCUUCGUGGCUGCCUUCCCCCUUGCCCCUGUCUUUGCCAUUCUCAACAACUGGCUUGAGAUAAGACUAGAUGCCCAGAAAUUUGUCAGUGAGCUGCGGCGGCCCGUUGCCGAGAGGGCGCAAGACAUCGGGGUGUGGUUCGACAUCCUUGAGAUUAUCGCACAGAUCGCUGUCAUCAGCAAUGCCUUCUUGAUUGCCUUCACAUCCGAAUUCUUACCAAAGCUGCUCUAUCAGUACCAAUAUAAUUUCAGUUUGGAUGGGUAUGUUAACUUCACCCUAGCCUAUGCUCCGUUAGAUGCUCCAGAUGCUCCUUGCAGAUAUAAAGAUUUCCGAGAUAUGAAUGGAGAGUACACCAGAUUCUAUUGGCAGCUUUUGUCAGUCAAGCUAGGUUUCGUCAUCCUCUUCGAGCAUUUUGUAUUUGGUAUUUCAAGAUUCAUUGACUUUAUCGUCCCAGACAUUCCUGAAGCGUUAGAGAUCAAGAUAAAGAAAGAAGCUUACAUGGGCAAACAAGCGCUUCAGGAAUUCCAGUGAUGACACAGAUGCAUUCCAUGUGGUUUGAUUUAAAGUAGGUCAUUUGGAAUUGAUCUGUGUUGAGAAGGAUGAAGACUGAUAUGGCGUUAUCAUCAAUCAUCGAACAUCCGUGGUCCUCAACGCUUUUUGUAUCUUUGUUACUUUUUUAUGUCGAUGAAGGUUAUGAAUGAUGCCCCAAAGAUGAGGUUGACUGUAGGCUGCUUUGGAAAUGACGAAAGGGCAUUAAUUUGAAUUAUAUUUCAUGAACUAAAGAACCUUUCUAGAACAAUUAUUUCAAAGUAGCUCAUUUGAUGAAAAUUUUUCUCUAGCCCAUUAAUAUAAAUUUGCCAAUUUAUUUAAGACCAUCACCUGCACAGUUGUGUUCUUUCAGAGUUUGUAGCUUUAAGUAGUAGAAUAAAAAUAUGCUUUAUUACUAUUUAAAGUAUAUAUUGCAUCAUCUUUGUUAGAAGUGCAUUGAACUGUGUACUUUCUUUGAUGGAAGUUUGUGGCAUUUGGUAAAUUCUUGUCCAUGUGUGCACUAUUGAAAACAGGCACACAGGCAUUUAUUACCCUUAUGCUUGGACCAAUAGGCCGUAUUCUAAAGUCAGGCUUAACUUAGACCACUGUCUGUGCUAAGUCUGUGCUAAAAUUAUGGAGAGCCAAAAUCUAAAAAUUCUGUUUAUAAAUAUUGUAUCUUUCUUAUGUUUACUGUUUUGUUUCCUUUUGUUUUCAUAAUAACGAAAAAUAAUUCAGUUGUCAUUCCCAGAUAACUAUGAAUGAUUUGAGUGUCAAAUGAGUUAAUGAAUUGGAUUUGUGCUCCAAUUGGCUCUCCAUAGUUAAACCACAACUUUAAACCAGGAUUUGAUGUAAACCUGAGUUCAGAAUACAAACAAAUUAUACAAACAAUUUAUUUCAGAAUACAAUACAAACAAUUUAUGGUUUCAAUAUGGAUGUAGGUAGCAUCGGAUUACUAGUUUAAAACCAAAGUGAAUAAUGUGUUUUCUAAUUUGGAAUUUAUUGUAAUGGAAAUCAGAAAGAUAUAUAUAUAUAAAAUCAUGUUUAUUUAUGGUGGCAGAGCAGAUGGUUAGAAAUAUAUUGAUAUGAAUCGGGACAUGCAAUGUGUCAUUAUGUAUAUGUUUUGUACUUUAUCAUUUUGCUUUAGAUUAUAUGCAAGUAUUAAACUUGUACAUCAACUUUUUAUGACAAAGAGGGUAUGGUUAUUUAGAUAAAAAGAGUACUGUAGUUCAUUCUUAGAAAAUAGACCAUUUUAUUUCAGCAGAUCAAUAGCUAUUGCAUUGGUUUAAGUCUGUAUGUCUCCUGCUAUGGGAGGCCUCAGAUUACAUGUAUUUUGUUUUGCAUGUACAUUCACAUGGGUAUAGAAUGUCUUGAAAAUAUAUUUUGAAUUUAUAAUCCUGAAUAAUAGUACAGGAUUUGUAUUCACUUGAUAUUAUAUUGGUUAAAAAAACAAUGAAGGUAUUAUUAUGUAAAGGCUGAUACUUUUAUUUAAACUAUUAAAUGGGUUUGAAAAAAGUGAUAAUGAAGGUAUUAUUAUGGAAAGGCUGAUAUUUUUAUGUAAACUAUUAUAUAGGUAAAAAAACAAGAUAUUAUUAAGAAAGGCUGAUACGUGGAAAAACUAUUCAUUUCCUUGUAAGUUUUCGCAAAUUUCUUGACAAUGUGCACCUUUUUAAUAUUAAUUUUCUACUUUCAUUUGUUAUGUACAGUGCUUUUAAGUAUGAACACAAAUCAUGGCUGUAAAUAUUGGGAGGCAAGGCAUUAAUCCACAUCUCCCGCUCUCUAUCCAGGUGUACAUUGGUAUGAAGGAAUUAUUCCCUGAAUGCCUUGAGCACUGGAAUAGAUCACCUAGCUAUGAUUUGGAUAGGACUUAAGCAUCUUAAGCAUUUCAUUCGGUGGAGUUUUUUUUAUAUUAGAUUUAUUAUCAUCUUAUCAUUGAUGUCAUCUUUGCUUUUCAGAAUUUGUUAUCUUGUACUUUACUGAUACCUGUCUUUCAUAUUCAUUAUCUUACCUUGAGCAAACUUUAAAAGUAGGCUGAUUAUACUUCUCUUUUAUGGUGACAAGUCUUCCUAUGGUAUUGGAAUUGUAUUCUUUCAAAGAAAUAUCAUUAUUACAUGUAGGUAUUAUUCAUCAUCUUCCUGAAUCCUUUCUAAAGAGGUCUUUUACAGUCUUCCUUUACUUCAGCUAAUAUUGCUGUAUUUAAUCACAAAGUACUAUAUUGAACAAAAGUUAUUCUUGUAGUCUUGCAUUCCAUUAAAAAAACGAUUAAGAACUUGAAAAAACUUUACUAUUUUUUUAAUGUCAGCAAGCAUUGCUGUAUUUAAUCACAAAGUGCUAUAUUGAACAAAACGUUAAAAUUCGUCUCACAUUCCAUUAACAAAACAAUUUAAGAGCUUGAAAAGACUUUACUAUUUGUUUAAUGUCAACAAACAUUGCUGUAUCAAAUCACAAAGUGCUAUAUUGAACAAAAGUUCUAAUUCUUUUAGUCUCACAAUUGAAAAAGAAGUGAUUAGACGCUAGAAUUCCCUUUAAACAUAUAAUCAUUCCAUUUUAUAAUGCACAUGAAAUUAUCGAUCAUGAUACAUAAUGUUUUGUACAUUUUUAUUACAUACAUUCUUGAGUUUCAUCAUACAUGUAUAUCUACAAGCGCAUUGCAUGACAGAGAUAGUAUAGAUUGUUUGUGACAUACAUAAAUAACUAUUUAUUUAUUUGUAAUUUCAUAACUUUGACAUUGUAGCACUAAAAUUGAUAAAAUUUGAUACUAUGACACAGCAGUACUUAAUCUUCUCAAAGCUUCUUAAAAUUAAUUUGGAUUACGAAUUAUCCAACAAUUUAUCCUCUACAAUAUUCAUUACAGCUUCUCGCUUAUCUUACUUUAACAUAUAAUAAGUAUAUUUACAAAUACAAAUAUAAUAGCAGUAUAUACAAUUUGUGAUGAAUAAAUAUAUAUAUAUGCAUUCUGGCAGUUAACAUUAUUGUUUCACAAAGAUAACUUUGAAAUUGAUAUGGGACAUCAUAGAAAAU